RNAcentral lists this ribosomal RNA (492 nucleotides) under uncultured bacterium. Its description in RNAcentral is "partial 16S ribosomal RNA". It matches the Rfam family "Bacterial small subunit ribosomal RNA", at positions 29 to 507 of the family's 1533-position model. The record is from RNAcentral.
AGUGAACGCUGGCGGUAGGCCUAACACAUGCAAGUCGAACGGCAGCACAGUAAGAGCUUGCUCUUACGGGUGGCGAGUGGCGGACGGGUGAGGAAUACAUCGGAAUCUACUUUUUCGUGGGGGAUAACGUAGGGAAACUUACGCUAAUACCGCAUAUGACCUACGGGUGAAAGCAGGGGAUCUUCGGACCUUGCGCGAUUGAAUGAGCCGCGGUCGGAUUAGCUAGUUGGCGGGGUAAAGGCCCACCAAGGCGACGAUCCGUAGCUGGUCUGAGAGGAUGAUCGGCCACACUGGAACUGAGACACGGUCCAGACGACUACGGGAGGCAGCAGUGGGGAAUAUUGGACAAUGGGCGCAAGCCUGAUCCAGCCAUACCGCGUGGGUGAAGAAGGCCUUCGGGUUGUAAAGCCCUUUUGUUGGGAAAGAAAAGCAGCAGGUUAAUACCCCGCUGUUCUGACGGUACCCAAAGAAUAAGCACCGGCUAACUUCGUG